GAUGAACGCUGGCGGCGUGCCUAAUACAUGCAAGUCGAGCGAACGGACGAGAAGCUUGCUUUUCUGAUGUUAGCGGCGGACGGGUGAGUAACACGUGGAUAACCUACCUAUAAGACUGGGAUAACUUCGGGAAACCGGAGCUAAUACCGGAUAAUAUUUUGAACCGCAUGGUUCAAAAGUGAAAGACGGUCUUGCUGUCACUUAUAGAUGGAUCCGCGCUGCAUUAGCUAGUUGGUAAGGUAACGGCUUACCAAGGCAACGAUGCAUAGCCGACCUGAGAGGGUGAUCGGCCACACUGGAACUGAGACACGGUCCAGACUCCUACGGGAGGCAGCAGUAGGGAAUCUUCCGCAAUGGGCGAAAGCCUGACGGAGCAACGCCGCGUGGGUGAUGAAGGUCUUCGGAUCGUAAAACUCUGUUAUUAGGGAAGAACAUAUGUGUAAGUAACUGUGCACAUCUUGACGGUACCUAAUCAGAAAGCCACGGCUAACUACGUGCCAGCAGCCGCGGUAAUACGUAGGUGGCAAGCGUUAUCCGGAAUUAUUGGGCGUAAAGCGCGCGUAGGCGGUUUUUUAAGUCUGAUGUGAAAGCCCACGGCUCAACCGUGGAGGGUCAUUGGAAACUGGAAAACUUGAGUGCAGAAGAGGAAAGUGGAAUUCCAUGUGUAGCGGUGAAAUGCGCAGAGAUGUGGAGGAACACCAGUGGCGAAGGCGACUUUCUGGUCUGUAACUGACGCUGAUGUGCGAAAGCGUGGGGAUCAAACAGGAUUAGAUACCCUGGUAGUCCACGCCGUAAACGAUGAGUGCUAAGUGUUAGGGGGUUUCCGCCCCUUAGUGCUGCAGCUAACGCAUUAAGCACUCCGCCUGGGGAGUACGACCGCAAGGUUGAAACUCAAAGGAAUUGACGGGGGCCCGCACAAGCGGUGGAGCAUGUGGUUUAAUUCGAAGCAACGCGAAGAACCUUACCAAAUCUUGACAUCCUUUGACAACUCUAGAGAUAGAGCCUUCCCCUUCGGGGGACAAAGUGACAGGUGGUGCAUGGUUGUCGUCAGCUCGUGUCGUGAGAUGUUGGGUUAAGUCCCGCAACGAGCGCAACCCUUAAGCUUAGUUGCCAUCAUUAAGUUGGGCACUCUAAGUUGACUGCCGGUGACAAACCGGAGGAAGGUGGGGAUGACGUCAAAUCAUCAUGCCCCUUAUGAUUUGGGCUACACACGUGCUACAAUGGACAAUACAAAGGGCAGCGAAACCGCGAGGUCAAGCAAAUCCCAUAAAGUUGUUCUCAGUUCGGAUUGUAGUCUGCAACUCGACUACAUGAAGCUGGAAUCGCUAGUAAUCGUAGAUCAGCAUGCUACGGUGAAUACGUUCCCGGGUCU
This 1372-nucleotide ribosomal RNA is filed under the name uncultured bacterium. Its description in RNAcentral is "bacterial SSU rRNA". It matches the Rfam family "Bacterial small subunit ribosomal RNA", at positions 28 to 1381 of the family's 1533-position model. The record is from RNAcentral.